Long non-coding RNA from Armigeres subalbatus, 377 nucleotides. RefSeq lists it as uncharacterized. The transcript is spliced from 3 exons. Lineage: Eukaryota; Metazoa; Arthropoda; Insecta; Diptera; Culicidae. The record is from RefSeq and is a predicted model, not a curated record.
UUUUCCCAAAGUCGGUGUUGAAAUGCAUAAACAUUCGUUUCCUUCCGCUUCAAUCGGAAAUUCUAAAACGGUGUUCCGCCACUGCGCUGAGGGAUUCGGCGGAGCUGCAAGGAUUUGCAUGCGAAGGAUUUCGAGAGUGUGAUGGAUACACCAAGUCUCGGACACAAUGAGUCUGGCACUUGGUCUGGCACGACCAAUCGCCAUAGACCUUUCAAUCAGCUUUCAACUUCAUUGGGGCGAUGUCAGUUGCCAUUUAUGUUAUCUCCGGAAAUGCAGCGCGACCAAUCGCAACAACAGAACAUUUUUACAUUCUUUAUUUACGAGACUUGCACUCCGUGGCUGGCUCGUCUCGUAAAUAACACAACAUUUAUUAAUUA